Molecule: long non-coding RNA, 600 nt
Organism: Melopsittacus undulatus (budgerigar)
Lineage: Eukaryota; Metazoa; Chordata; Aves; Psittaciformes; Psittaculidae
Exons: 4
Source: RefSeq, a predicted model, not a curated record
UCCUGCAGUAAACACUGAGUGGCUCCUUAUGAAUGUUAAGAAUCCUUGCAGGAGGAUCUCAUGCCAAACACCAUAGUACAGGUCACCUUCAAGUUAUGCAGUCACCUUUAAGGUAUGCUUAACAUCAUCUUCUCGCUCAAGACAAGCAUACUUCUUUCCUUGUCAGAAGAACAGGCUCAGAAUCUGUUAUUAAGGCUCUGGUUGUUCAACCUUGCACCUUUGCUGCAUUAGAGAAUGAAAACAGACAGCAUUUCUUCUCUUGGAGCCUUGGACCUGAGAUGGCAAAGCAGAACAAGGCUGGAGGGUGAAGCCUGCAGAAUAUUGACAGUGAAUCUAAAUAUCUCAAAGUGAUACAAAGAUGACCACAGAAACAAGCUGUGAUCCAGUUCCAGAAUUUUGCUACUUCACACCAAAGUGGCACUCAAGGACGAGCAAACAUCUGGGAUUCUGAUGCAGCGUGAUUUGGAUGAACCUGCAGAAGUCCCUGACCAGCUCCCUCAGUACCAGCACGUGCAGGAUGGGAUAAAAGCACACAUAACCAUGAUGCUGUGAGUGCAUCUGAGAGGGGGGUUGGCUGAAUCCUGCCUUCCAUACUAUAAA